Molecule: ribosomal RNA, 253 nt
Filed under: uncultured bacterium
Lineage: Bacteria
Description: partial 16S ribosomal RNA
Rfam family: Bacterial small subunit ribosomal RNA
Source: RNAcentral
UACGGAGGGGACUAGCGUUGUUCGGAAUUACUGGGCGUAAAGCGCACGUAGGCGGAUUUGUAAGUCAGGGGUGAAAUCCCGGGGCUCAACCUCGGAACUGCCUUUGAUACUGCAAGUCUCGAGUCCGGAAGAGGUGAGUGGAAUUCCUAGUGUAGAGGUGAAAUUCGUAGAUAUUAGGAAGAACACCAGUGGCGAAGGCGGCUCACUGGUCCGGUACUGACGCUGAGGUGCGAAAGCGUGGGGAGCGAUCCGG